This 550-nucleotide ribosomal RNA is filed under the name uncultured archaeon. Its description in RNAcentral is "bacterial SSU rRNA". It matches the Rfam family "Archaeal small subunit ribosomal RNA", at positions 326 to 879 of the family's 1478-position model. The record is from RNAcentral.
CGGGGUGCAGCAGGCGCGAAACCUUUGCCCUUUCGAAAGUGUGACAGGGCUAUCCCGAGUGCCAUCCGCUGAGGAAGGCUUUUACCCAGUCUAGAACGCUGGGGGAAUAAGGAGAGGGCAAGUCUGGUGUCAGCCGCCGCGGUAAUACCAGCUCUCCGAGUGGUGUGGAUGUUUAUUGGGCCUAAAGCAUCCGUAGCUGGCUAGGUAAGUCCCUUGUUAAAUCCACCGAAUUAAUCGUUGGAUCGCGGGGGAUACUGCUUGGCUAGGGGACGAGAGAGGCAGACGGUAUUUUCGGGGUAGGGGUGAAAUCCUAUAAUCCCGGGAAGACCACCAGUGGCGAAGGCUGUCUGCUAGAACGCGCCCGACGGUGAGGGAUGAAAGCUGGGGGAGCGAACCGGAUUAGAUACCCGGGUAGUCCCAGCUGUAAACGAUGCAGACUAGGUGUUUGGACGGCCACGUGCCGUUCUAGUGCCGCAGGGAAGCUGUUAAGUCUGCCGCCUGGGGAGUACGAUCGCAAGAUUGAAACUUAAAGGAAUUGGCGGGGGAGCAC